ACAUUCCACCCAGCCUGACUGCUCUGGAAGGAAGAAUCCCUGCAAGGUGAGUGUUAUUAUAUCCAUUUGUGGACCAGGACUGCGGCUCAGAAGCUUUUCCCAGGACACUGAACUCUGACAGGUGAAUAGCUGCCAAGUGGUGGAGGUUGGCCUGCAGUGAGCAUCAGUCUGACUUCGAAGGACAGAAUGACACAUGGUACAAGCUUUCUGUCUUACUGCCACACGUCAGUGUCCUGGGAGAUGAACCAGAUGCAGCUCCCUGAUGAAUGUGGGAAUAAAAAUUUAUAUCAGAAUCGACACUGGUUAUAAUGUGAAUUUAUGACAUUACUUGAGAAUAUUCAAUUCUGCUGUAGAGGACAAAAAAAAUGGAAUAAUGAAAUCCAUCAUAAACCCUGGGCAUAGUUGAUGAUAAAAGUGCUGGCCAGGCGUGGUGGCUCAUGCCUGUAAUCCCAGCACUUUGGGAGGCCGAGGCGGGUGGAUUACCUGAGAUCAGGAGUUCAAGACCAGCCUGGCUAACAUGGCGAAACCCCGUCUCUGCUAAAAAUACAAAAAUUAGCUGGGUGUAGUGGCAUGCACCUGUAAUCCGAGCUAUCCAGGAGACUGAGACAGGAGAAUCGCUUGAACCUGGAGGCAGUAAGCCAAGAUCGCACCAUUGCAUUCCAGCCUAGGCGACAGAGCAAGACUCUGUCUCAAAAAAAAAAAAAAAAAAAAGUGCUCUGACGUUAUAUUAUGGUGUUGGUCGCACAACUUUGUGAAUAUAUGAGAAGUCAUGGAAUUGUAUACUUUCAAUGAAUAAAUUAUAAGGCAUACAAGUUAUAUCUCAAUAAAGCUGUUUGCUAAAUUUGGACGUCACUUUUUUUUUAAACAGCUUUGUUGAGGUAUAACUCUGGUGUUAUACGUUUAGUAUUUGUUUGUUCACCUCUAUCAUAAGCUAUAUAAGCUAUAUGUCUCUUAGGACUGGGAUCAUUUUUAUCAAUUGUUACACCUCCACUUCCUUGUAUAGUACUUUUUGCCCGAAUGUUAAUUUAAAAAUGUUUGUUGAAUGAUACAUUUUAGGCUAAAUGAAUACAGUUUGCAUCAGCAUUAGGGUAGACAUGUCACAUGUAGUCCACUAACCCUCCCCAAGUCUUUUAUGUGAGUUGUUGUUAAGCCAGGGCAAUUCUAUCCUGUACUUGGGCAGAAAUUUCUUGAAAAAAAUCAAAGUUAAGAGUUUACAUUUAUUUUAAAAUUUUUAUCAUGUUAGAACCCAUCAGUCAUUUUAGCCAGUUAAGUGUUUUUUUUUUUUUUUUUUUUUUUUGAGAUGGAGUCUUGCUGUUUUGCCCAGGCUGGAGUGCAGUAGUGCGAUCUUGGCUCACUGCAACAUCUGCCUCCCAGGUUCAAGUGGUUCUCCUGCCUUAGCCUCCCCAGUAGCUGGGGUGACAGGUAUGCACCAUGUUGCCCAAGUUUUUGCAUUAUUUAGUAGAGAUGGGGUUUCACCACAUUGCCCAGGCUGGUCUUGAACUCUUGACGUCAAGUGAUCUGCCCGCCUCGGCCUCCAAAGGUGCUGGGAUUACAGGCAUGAGCCACUGCGCCCAGCCAAGAUUUUCUUGGAUUUUUUUCUCUGUCAUUAAGUGUAGUCUCUAUUUCUACCUGCUUUGUACUACAAACCAAUUUAAAUAAGCAUGCUGUCUUUCUCCAUAAAAACAUUAAACUGUAGAACAAUGUUUUUAUGGAGAAAAAGAGCUAAAGUCACAUGCUGGUGGAGCAUAAAACGCUCACUUGAAGAACACCUUGGUAAUGGCUCCAGCUAACUGUACCAUGACCUAAUCCUGUGGCUGGAACCUCUGGGGAGUCUUAUCCACCUCCCCAAAUCCAUUUGACAAGCUCAGGUCCAAUACCACUUCUUUCAUGGGCUAUUCUCUGAUCUUCUCAGAAUGUCUAUCUUCUAUUGAAUUUGCCACAAUAUUUUGUUUGUACUACUCUUGAGACAUCCCACACAACCUUGAAUUAUAAUUGCUCACAUGGGUGUCUCAGCAUUUAUUCUAGACCAUAAGAUACUUAAAAGGAGGAAUUGUGAUUUCUUUGACAGUUUUGUCUCUUAGAAUUUAAGGGUGAGGGUGCUUAAUAAGUAUUAGAAAUAACGGAUAAGUAAAAUAUUCAGUGCUAUUAAAAAUACUAUUAAAUCUCAACACCUCCAGGGGUUACAUAUCUGAAAAAAGAUAUCAUACAUAUCUAUAUAAAUUCUAAAAUAAAUUGAAAUAGUCCAUAUCAAAAACCCUGCUGGAGUAGGUAACUCUUCACAAUCGACUUCAAUUAUUCAUGAUAUAAUUUUUGCAGGCACAUCAAAAAUUGUAUGUUUAGAGGUUAGAGGAUGAAUCCUCUUACAGUUUUCAAACCAGUCUGUACUAGCUUGAAAUGUAAUGUUUCUUGCACUUGAAUUUUCCCUGCUUUGUGUCUGCCAGUCUUGGCCCAAUGCUUGGGUACUUUUUUUAUGUUAUUGUGGUGCUUACAGGUGUUUUUCCAGCUGUGUUUUUCUAUCCUGAGGUUACAUCGGAGUAUGACAUGAUCAAACCUCUUCUUUGCACCAUGUCACAGAACCACCUUAAUGGAAGAGUGGACAAUAACUAUUGUGGUUUUCUCCUAUUUCAGGUGAUGGAAUGGAACCAUGUGUGUACAAAAAGAUACAGGAAUGUACAUAUUCAGUUUGCAAUAUAAAAACAUACACUGUGAUUGGAGAGGGAUUACAACAUUCUAAUUGCAAUUUUUGUCAUUUAUUCAAUAAAUAUUUCCUGGCUGGGUAUGAUGGCUCAAAGUGCCUGUAAUCCCAGCACUUUGGGAGGCCAAAGCAGGCAAAUCACCUGAGGUCAGGAGUUUGAGACCAGCCUGGCCACCAUGGUGAAACCCCAUCUCUACUAAAAAUACACAAAUUAGCUGGGUGUGGUGGUGCAUGCCUGUAAUCUCAGCUACCUGGGAGGCUGAGGCAGGAGAAUUGCUUGAACUCGGGAGGCGGAGGUUGCAGUGAGCUGAGAUUGCACCACUGCACCCCAGCCUGGGCAACAGAGUGAGACUCUGUCUCAAAACAAACAAACAAACAAACAAACAAAUUCCUGAGUGCCUACCAUAUGCUGAUUAAACUGUUCUAGAUGUUGGAGAUGCAGCUAUGGACAAGACAAAUACAGUCUCUUCUCUCCAGGAAUUUACCUUCUAAUGGAGGAGAGAGACAAAAACAACUUUGUACAUAAACCUUUUCUGAUAGUCAUUAAGAAAAUAAAGCAACAUGGUGUCCAAAUUCUAGAUUGCUCAUUUUAAAGGCUAGGGUGCCUAAAACCACAAGGAACAUUUCAGAAUUAGUAACAUUCAUACUUCGUAGAGCUAUACUUAGGCUAAUAAAUGUUUGGUAUUGUUGCCUCCCCAACAGCCACCUCAGACCACCUCCUGACUCCAAGUUUCCCUGCUCAUCAAUCCAAAAUUUUGUUGAAUAUACUACUUCCCCACCCCCAAUGGAGCUUAAGGGUUAACCUGAACUCUCUAAACCAAUCAGGGCAUUCCUACUGUCUUUGAUCGUGAGUGUUGUAGGCAGAGACAUAUAACCCAAUCCUUGCUAAUGAGACUUGAGGUAGGACCCCAGCUUCCGGAGAGGUUGCCUGGCUCCUAAAAAGAGAAAGAUACCGGAAAAGAGAUGGACUCUUCUACCACUGGAAAUCAGAUGGUGUCCUGAGUGACAUAAGUGUACUUACAACAGCCAUUUUGCAACCAUAAAGAAGCCAGUGGGAAUACACAGGCUACGUGUCCUCGAAGGCACAGAAGAAAGAAGAGAGAAAACUAUAUUCUUGAUGACACAGUUGAGCUACAGAAUUGUCCAACCCCGGAGGUGCCCCACUUCGCGUUGUGGGAGAUAAUGCAUUUUCCUUGCUGUUUAAACCACUUUGAGCUGAGUUUUCUAUUACCAGCAGCCUAAAGCAUUUUGACAGAUAAAAGUAGAUACAAAUGCACAUAUAUAAUGAGCAUCCUGACUGAACGAUUAAAUGUGUAUGUAGGCAUGCAUUACCUCCCCACUCCAUUUAUGAUUGUCACAUUUAUUUUUACUUCAGGGAAAAGCAACUAUAGAAUUUAAAAAAUCAGGAUUGAAAACAAAUACCUGAAUUUCCUACAAUUAAAAAAUCAAUCCAUUAAGUAGUGGUAUUAUGCUAAAAUAAAAUGAAUGCUUAGAAAUUUGUUAAGUGUUUAUGAUGUAAUAAGACAUCAAAUAAACCAUUUUUCUUUAAGUUCUUUAAUAAAAAAAAUCUGAUGUGGAGUCCAGUCUUUCAUUUUUAUCACUGGAAUAAAUAGAGAAUAGUCAUUGCAAUCAAUUGCCUGUUUGUUUCCCCAGAG
RNAcentral lists this long non-coding RNA (4350 nucleotides) under Homo sapiens (human). RNAcentral describes it as "non-protein coding lnc-ZC3H12D-4:7". The record is from RNAcentral. Lineage: Eukaryota; Metazoa; Chordata; Mammalia; Primates; Hominidae.